Molecule: long non-coding RNA, 3805 nt
Filed under: Sus scrofa (pig)
Lineage: Eukaryota; Metazoa; Chordata; Mammalia; Artiodactyla; Suidae
Description: lncRNA (ENSSSCG00025058493.1)
Source: RNAcentral
UGUCCCCCUUGUCUCUUCUUGACAAUGUCAGGUAAAGAGAACUCUUUUGGUAAAUUCUGGCACCUCUGUCUUCUCUGGGUGCACAGAAUGUCCUUUGUUGUCUGCCUAAACACCCUUACUCUAGACCCGACCCCUGUCAUCCUAAGAUUCCUAAUGCUUAGUAUGAACUGAUGAAAGAAAUAGAGUCCAACACUAAGUAGGUGGUGACAGCAACCACAGAUCCCAGGUAUGAAAAGCCUGCCACUGAAGAAAACUACAAAAGGAAAUCUUACCAAUUGGUUACCUGAAAUGAUGGUAGAGAAAUAGAAGUUUGGAAGUUGCUCGAAGAGAAACAUCCUUAUUCUUUAUGAUAGAUCAGGAUGGAGGAUUUAAGUGCUCCUAGCAGACGCAGGUUUCACGACUGCCGACUGCACCACCUCCGUAUACUGGCACCAGCUCCAUCAGCACCAAGGAUCCCACCACUUAUUUGUGUGUCCUCAGUCUCGGCCAUGGUUGCGGUGAUGCUUAUAAGGGCUAAAGGGACUUGUUUAGGUGGAGAUAGACUGGACUGGGCCACCAGCACGUCUAGUGGGGAAAGUGAAAGGCAGGCAUGAAAUGAGUCAUUCAAAUAAACACAGACAGUACAACUGUGUUUUGUUGUGAAAUUUUUGUCUAUACUUUUAUUUCUCUCCAGGUAUAACUUGGCUUACCUGUGUACUCCUAAAUUAGGUAAUUAAUCCGUGUGAAUUUACAUCCAAAAGAGGUAUGCAGGAUAAUAUCCAAUUUGGCUCUAAGACUUUAUGACCCAUGACUGGUUAAAUUUGACACUUACCUCCUAUGAAAAUAUUAUAAUGAAAAUAUUAUAAUACCUUGUUGAAAUUACCUUUUUUUUUUUUUUUUUUUUUUUUUUUUUUAAGACAUAGAAGGUGCAGAGUAAGUCCAGGGGCAUACGUAGCUAUCAGCAAAAUUUAGUUCUAUUUUUCAUGUCAUAGGUGAAUGAUUUGGGUGUGUCUCAGUAUGCAACAUGUAAUUUCUAGGUGAUUCCAUUAUAAGGAAGAAUUUCAUCCUGGAUAAUUACUCAUUCGUUUCUGAUAAAAGUUACUAAUUCACUACUCUAUACUAGAAGUCAUUUGAUCCAACGAGUUGUUUAUUAAAAACUGGUGAGUGGUUAUACUGGCAAUGAAAGUCACCCGAAGCUAUUUCUCAAUAGAAAAAGGAUGGAGAAAUAAAAAUUUGAAAGGCUGAAUACCCCAAAUUCUCUUUACCUGAAACAUUUCCAUUAACAGCGAUCUUUUUCCAUUUAGGAAGAGCUCUACUUGAAAUCCAACCAAAAGUCAUGAGAGACACUCCAUUCCUCACUUUUCAAAAUCAAAGCAAUCCUUUUGGACAAUGAAAGACAAUGUGUGCCAUGCUCAUUUGAAUCUUUUCACCUUAUUUUUCUAGGACAAAGCCCAUGAAAAAUGCAUGGCACUGCCUUUAUGAAAACACCGAUGAAUGCACCAUGCCCUAAAUACAUCUAACUUCCCUUUCCUUUAGGAAUGGGAACAUUCCUGAUUUAGCUCAUUUAGCCUGCAGUUGAAGUCCAAAUUGACUUGCUUUUGUUGAUAGUUGGCUAGGCAGCUAUUAAACGUCUCAUUCCUCCGCUUCUUAUUACCUUUAUAAACUCACCGGCCAGAUGAUCCUUUAGUGGGAUGAGAAAACCGAUGCUACAUAUUUCACGUUAUGUUAUCUUUGGAAUACAUUAUUCAGAUGAUUGCUCUGAUUCUUUCAUUAUAUAGGCUUGACCAAAAAGUGACUUCCUUGAAUGAAAAUACAAGCAACGCAAGAAAAUAAAGUAAAUUGCACGUAGGAAGUUCCAUUACGUUUAUUUCUGCUGAAAAAUAGCCUCGGUGGCUUCUGCUACUAGGGAUUCAGUCUAAUUUUCAAAGAAAACUUUCUUUUGUAUCAGAAAAAACAUUUCCCUAUAGGCUAACUGCCUAUAUUGUACGGGGACUUGAUCUUUUUUCAUUCUUUAAAUUACAACUCAUUUAUUUAAAGGAAUACUUGUCAAAAGAAAGCUUUAAGUAGUGAGUUAAAAAAGCAGUGUUAAAUAAUUGAAUUGACUGUGAUAAAAUUGCCUUAGUUUAAAUAGACUAGUCUGUUUAAUGAAUUGUGCUUUUAUAGGGUGAGAUAAAUCUAAUGUGAACUCAAGGGGUUCCACCAGAAUCACUGAAUUCGGAUAGAUUAAAAGAAAGUCAAGAUGAGGCACUUAUAAUAAUUCAGUCGUAUUUGAUUUUAUUAACAUGGCACUCGAUUAUGAAACUGUGUUUUCUGCCAGGUUAAUAAUCAUUAACCUAAAACAAUAUCAAGAGCCUUUCACACAUUUUGAACAAUUCAGCUCACUUGCAAAGAAAGUACUGUAUUAGUUCUUUUUUUUUUUUUUUGCUCAUGUAGAAAUAAUAACUUGAGGCUUAAUUCGGAACACAGCAUUUAACUUCCAAUUUUUAGUAGGAAGAGAUUCAGCUUAAGAAACCUUCCACACUGAAUGAAAUUAUUUUGGCAGUGAGACUGUGGCAGGAAAUUAAUUUCGUAUCUUAAAGUAAAUUUGGCAGGUUUACCUUCCUGUUUAAUGUUGAAAAGGGUUUUUAUAACAUACCAUUAGGCUACCACGCAGUCAGCCUUGUGUAGCAAUGCUGGGUUAUCACUUCAAAAGGGAAACUUAGCUGGAACAUUUUGUAUCCCUUGAUUAUACUUCUUGUGUUGUUAAGUGUUGAAAUACAUUUUAUGUGUUUAAAAACAAGAGAAGCAACUUCAGGGGGAAAAAAAAGCCCUAAACUGAAACAAGUACAAACAUAAGGAUCUGUUCUCAUCAAAAAGGAAUCAUGAACUAAGACUACGGAUCAUGUACUAGGCUGGUGAUUCAUUUUCACAUUGGCGGAAUGGUAGAACCAAAUUCUUUGUUACAUAGGUCAAGGCUGAAAGGAAGGAGGAGAGAAAGAUACUAUCAGUUCACACAUCCCGCUGAACCAUUCCACAGUUUAAGAGGUAUCUCUUCUUUCUAUCUGACCCACAAAAUUCCUAUUUUAGUACUUAUUAUCGGACAAGCAGCUUCUUAACUUAAGGCAAAAUUCCUUUCACCAUCCACAGAGACUUCCUGCUCGGUGUUUAUGGUCUGGUGUUGAGAGAUUGCUAAUGGUGACAGUGAAAAUAGGAAGUCAGAUUCGAGUUUAAAAUACGUAACAGAUUUUAAAUCCUGGUUUUUGUUGUGAUCUAGUUUACACUAGCAAGCAGAAUGAAGUGUUGAUGGAGCCUGAAGAAUUCGAGGACAUUACCCCACCUGAUGCUCUUCAAAUGUAGACUAUUUCAAAUAGACUCUUUUCUAAGGAGACUUUUCGUUUCCUAUUACAUGGUAUAUACAUGCUGGCUGUAGAAACGUAAAAUGAUAGCGAAGAAAGUAAAUAAUGCUCAUGUCACAUCCACUUCUCAUCCAUUCAGUAACAACAUAUUGAGGGCUGGACAGGUGCAAUGCCUCUCUCACGCCUUUAUGGAGUCUGUGGUCUGUCAGAGAUACCAGAUAUUAUGCAGACGGCCACAGAAAUAACUCUGUGAUGAUCAUGGACUUAGAUGCUGUGAAAACAAGAGUCCAGAGUUCUCUGAAGGUGCAUAGAAGAGGGCCAUAUUCCAGAGUAGAGGGGAGAGGUGGAGUGCCAGAGGGAUGAGUUUUAAUCUGAGGUCUGAAGAGCGAGGGUGGGCGUGGUGAUGGGAGAAGGGCAUUCUAGGUGGGAGGAAUGCAGAUGACCUGGUCCUGAGUCUGGAAAGCCAUCGGCAUGUUCCUGGAACAGAUGCC